This is a long non-coding RNA of Girardinichthys multiradiatus, 2607 nucleotides long. RefSeq lists it as uncharacterized. The record is from RefSeq and is a predicted model, not a curated record. NCBI's taxonomy places the organism in Eukaryota, Metazoa, Chordata, Actinopteri, Cyprinodontiformes, Goodeidae. The transcript has 2 exons.
AAACACCUGCAAAGGUUUCCUGAGCCUUUAAAUGGCCUCUCACUCUGGGUCAGAAGGCUACACAAUCACGGGGAAGACUGCUGACAAGACUGAUGUCCAGAAGACAGUCAUCAACACCCUUCACAAGGAAGCAAAGUGGUGUGACCUGAACCCCAGAAAUAAUCUAUGGAGGAUUGUCAGGAGGAAGGUGAGAGACACCACACCCAACAAUGGAGAUGAUCCGAAGGCCACUAUCAAAGCAGCCUGGGCUUCCAUCACACCUCAGCAGGACCACAGGCCGAUCGCCUCCAUGCCAUGCUGCAUUGAUGCAGUAACUCUUUAACUAUUCCUAAAGAAUAUUUUACUUUUUGAGAAACUGAAUUUUCAAUCAAAAUAACUGAAAUAAACACUUGAAAUAUAACACUGUGCAAUAAAUUUAGAUAAUUUAGGCUUCACUUUUUGAAUUCAAUUACUGUAAUAAAUGUAACUUUUCAGUGACAUUCCAGUUGCCUGAGAUGUCCCUGUAUUUGCAUAUUUGGAGAAAUUACAGUGAAAACAUGUCAUCCAAAUAGAACAUCACUGUGGGUUGUACAAAUUUAUUUUAUCUUUGUUUAAUUUUUUGAUUGAUGCAAACACAUGCGAAGGUCAAACUGUGCUUUGACUUCUACAAUGACAGCUGCGACUUUGAACCACUGUACCUGACUGUUUAUUUCCAUCAAGGCAAAUCAGAAUAUAUGUGUCUUUCGCAUGUGAGCAUCAGCCUAGAGUAAAGAAGAGCUUGCUAAUGUAGCCUGAACUGACUUCUUUUGGAAAGGUUGCAUUCCUAUUGGGAUUGUUUUCUGAUAUUAAUUUUCCUUCCAAGCUGUGGAUUAUGAUUUUUUUUCACACACUGAUCAAACAAAUCACUGUUACAAUAAAUAAAAAGGCUACUCCCAAUGACAAUAAAAAAUGAACUGCCUCUAACCUCUGACACAAUCUUUCAUAGGGCUUCAUCAACAUCUGUUCAUACUCUGCUGAUCUUGUGGGGUGUUUAUGUUGACUAGUUCAGCUCUACAAGAACACUCCACAAAACAGCUGUAAGUCAUCUUGAUUUCCUUUUAUUUGGUAAUUUCAGUCUUAAGCAUGUCCAAGAUUUUCAACUUAACCUAUUAAUGCAUCUGUAGGUGACAUGUGCAAAGAUUUUUUUUUUCUGUUUAGACAACCUUCACCGCACUUUAAGUUGCAAUAAAUUCAAUUAAACAUACUUUAUCAAAGUUUUGCACUACCUGUCACUUCCAGGUUUCCUUCUAAAGUUCUCUGCAAAAUAUUUUAAAGUUUGUAAAGCACAGAGACUUUGUUGCCAUUGUAUUCUCUAUUAUUCCGCCAUAAAAAAGUUACAGCAUUGGCUACACGUGCUUUAUGACUAAGAAACCCUUUGAUGAAGAUGCUUAUCAUCUUCAUCACUCACAUAAAGCUCAGUUGUUCUUCAUUCACUUUCUUUCCAAACACACUUAAUCAUCUGGGGGGUGGGUGUUGGGUUUAUCCCUCUACAUGUGCCAAUCAAUGAAUAUUGACUAUGACAUAAAAUACUUGAAAUUGACACAACAAUUUACAAGAACAGCAUUUGCAAUGUUUUUUUUUGUUUUUUUGUUAUGAAUCAAGUAGGGCCAUGGUGCAAAUGAUGAAGAUAAAAAAUAAAUAACCUCAAAUUGAGCAGUUUCAUGCACCAACAACAAUACAUCUUCUGUAAAGCUAAGUGAAACAGUGUGACAUGAACCUCUACAUCACUGUGUCCUGAGUCUAUUGAACAUGGGACAAAAGAAAUAGAAUGCAGGACUAAUGGAACCCUAUCUGAGUAUUUAGAUUUAUUCCUAUGUGUAAAAUAACCAGAACCCCAUAAAAACAUGUAAAUUAAAUUUAACUAUUCCACAUACAACACAACAACCUGAGAUCAAGUUAGAGACCGUUGCAGCAUGGACAUCAACAUCAGGCAUCUACAGAAACCUUUGUUGAUACAGAACCACAUUUUGUAUUCUGAAAAACUCAAACGGACAAGAUUUUUAUGGUUAAAAACAUAAAUAUCAAAGUGCAUUCGGCCUCAACAAUCCCACCUUUAUAGCUCUCUAACAAACAUUUGGCAUGAACAAGCAGAAAGUUACUUAUUGGUAUUGAAACAUUUUCUGAUGGUUGCAAAUAAGACACAGUUAUCAAGUUAUCUUUGUCUGGCAUUAAAAUAUUUUCAUUAUCUGACAGAUCUAAGUGAAACAGGCUGUGGUCCUCAAUGCAGCAGCUUGGGGUUUGAUCUCCAACCAUGACACAUUUGCUGCAUGUCUUCCCACUCCUCUCUCUGUCAGUUAAAGGCAACUGGUGCCACAAAAGCUUUUUUUUUUAAAAUGUGGGACAAACAGGUCAAACAGGUGAAUUCUGUGUUCUUUCAAAGCUCUGUACACAUUUGCAGACUUUACUUGUGUGAGAAACUAUGUUUCAGGAUUCACUACCGUCCUAAGUUGUUAGAUCUGCUGGACAUUUCCAGGAUAAUUAUGUGCAACCAUCCUGUGUGUUUAUUUGCUGUAUUCCAGUUCUCCUGUUUCAAUUCAUCUUCUACUCACUUUGCAGAUUUGUUCAAUUAAAAGAAAAAUUUUUUACAAA